GACGAACGCUGGCGGCGUGCUUAACACAUGCAAGUCGAACGGAAAGGCCUGCUUUCCCUUGUGGAUUGCGGGUACUCGAGUGGCGAACGGGUGAGUAACACGUGAGUGAUCUGCCCCCAACUUGGGUAUAAGCCUGGGAAACUGGGUCUAAUUCCCGAUAGGACUGCAGGGUGGUGCCUGUGGUGGAAAACGAUUUUCUAGUGGUUGGGGAUGAGCUCGCGGCCUAUCAGCUUGUUGGUGGGGUAAUGGCCUACCAAGGCGGCGACGGGUAGCCGGCCUGAGAGGGGGGACGGCCACAUUGGGACUGAGAUAAGGCCCAGACGCCUACGGGAGGCAGCAGUGGGGAAUAUUGCACAAUGGGCGGAAGCCUGAUGCAGCGACGCCGGGUGGGGGAUGACGGCCUUCGGGUUGUAAACUCCUUUCGACCGCGAGGAAGCCACCUGGUUGGAAGGGUGGUGACGGUAGUGGUAGAAGAAGCACCGGCUAACUACGUG
Molecule: ribosomal RNA, 494 nt
Filed under: uncultured bacterium
Lineage: Bacteria
Description: partial 16S ribosomal RNA
Rfam family: Bacterial small subunit ribosomal RNA
Source: RNAcentral